Molecule: ribosomal RNA, 245 nt
Filed under: uncultured bacterium
Lineage: Bacteria
Description: partial 16S ribosomal RNA
Rfam family: Bacterial small subunit ribosomal RNA
Source: RNAcentral
GACGGAGGGGGCAAGCGUUGUCCGGACUCACUGGGCGUAAAGAGCGCGUAGGCGGUGCAUUGCGUCGCUCCUGAAAGUGCCGUGCUUAACACGGCGAGGUGGAGCGAUACGAAUGCGCUUGAGGCAGGGAGAGGCUGGCGGAAUUCCCGAUGGAGUGGUGAAAUACGUAGAGAUCGGGAGGAACGCCUGAGGCGUAAGCGGCCAGCUGGUCCUGUUCUGACGCUGAGGCGCGACAGCGUGGGGAG